Rhincodon typus (whale shark) is the source of this 552-nucleotide long non-coding RNA. RefSeq lists it as uncharacterized. The transcript has 3 exons. The record is from RefSeq and is a predicted model, not a curated record. Lineage: Eukaryota; Metazoa; Chordata; Chondrichthyes; Orectolobiformes; Rhincodontidae.
GGACACUUCAAGGUGGGGGAAUCAAUGGAGUUCUUCAUGGACAGGAGUAUUUGGGAAAUGGAACAUUACAUGGAUGGAAUACAGGUGAAUAAAUUGAUGACCUUGGGAAAGGCAGCAGCAGGACGUCAUAACUGGAAAUACAUGGGGCUGGUCCUCAGCACUCAGGAAGAUGGAAGACUGUUAAUCAAGGCUAUAAAGCAGAGACUCUGAGAUAUUGUCUUACCUGCUGAGCGCUUUCAGCAUUUUCUGGCUACAUCCCAAUGAUGCUGAAUUAAAGCUCCUGACCAGAGAAGAGAUGGGUUGGAAUUUUAUUGGUGGGUGUAUGUCCCAAUGUCAGGGCUAUAUGUGAGCCCUGAGCCCACUAUCACUUCUAUCUGUGGUCAUCAGCAUCAGUAGAUGGAGCAAUUCACGUGCAGCCGCUAAGUCACUGUGUUGUUUUUAGAUAUCUUUAAUCAACCUGUUCCGAUACGAUGUGACACAUUUCUGGGGCAGGCACGUCUUGAACCAGGACCUUCUAACCUAGAGUUAGGGACUACCACUGUACCACAAGAG